This 416-nucleotide ribosomal RNA is filed under the name Escherichia sp. E1130. RNAcentral's name for it is "bacterial SSU rRNA". It matches the Rfam family "Bacterial small subunit ribosomal RNA", at positions 1 to 411 of the family's 1533-position model. Lineage: Bacteria; Pseudomonadati; Pseudomonadota; Gammaproteobacteria; Enterobacterales; Enterobacteriaceae. The record is from RNAcentral.
UUAAAUUGAAGAGUUUGAUCAUGGCUCAGAUUGAACGCUGGCGGCAGGCCUAACACAUGCAAGUCGAACGGUAACAGAAAGAAGCUUGCUUCUUUGCUGACGAGUGGCGGACGGGUGAGUAAUGUCUGGGAAACUGCCUGAUGGAGGGGGAUAACUACUGGAAACGGUAGCUAAUACCGCAUAACGUCGCAAGACCAAAGAGGGGGACCUUCGGGCCUCUUGCCAUCGGAUGUGCCCAGAUGGGAUUAGCUAGUAGGUGGGGUAACGGCUCACCUAGGCGACGAUCCCUAGCUGGUCUGAGAGGAUGACCAGCCACACUGGAACUGAGACACGGUCCAGACUCCUACGGGAGGCAGCAGUGGGGAAUAUUGCACAAUGGGCGCAAGCCUGAUGCAGCCAUGCCGCGUGUAUGAAGA